CCCUUAGAUGUUCUGGGCUGCACACGUGCUACACUGGCAGGUUCAGCGAGCUUCAUGCCCUGAUCUGAAAGGAAUGGGAAAUCUUUUCAAAACCUGCCGUGCUUGGGAUCGAUGUUUGCAAUUAUUCAUCUUCAACGAGGAUUGCCUUGUAAGCGCACGUCAUCAGCGUGCAUUGAAUACGACCCUGUAUUCUGUACACACCGCCCGUCGCUCCUACCGAUUGAAGUUUUCGGUGAGUUGACAGGAGGAUUUUUUUGAAACUGGUUCGCCAGUGGAUUUUAGAUCCAAAUGCCAACGAAUCGAUGGCUUUAGAGGAAGGAGAAGUCGUAACA
RNAcentral lists this ribosomal RNA (332 nucleotides) under uncultured eukaryote. RNAcentral describes it as "partial 18S ribosomal RNA". It matches the Rfam family "Eukaryotic small subunit ribosomal RNA", at positions 1470 to 1796 of the family's 1831-position model. The record is from RNAcentral.